CCGGCUCACCUUGAACUACUUCUUGAUGAUGGAAUUGACAAUUGAGGCUCAAACACAAAAUUGUGUCAGCACCAGGCCAGUCAGAACCCACCUGAGAAAAGCCAAGAUUCUAACAUCGGGAAAUCAGGAGUAAACCACACGAUGAGCUGCAGGGGCGGGGACAGAAAUUUUUGAUGGUUGUGCCUGGCACAUAACAGACACUCAAAAAAUAUCUUCGGAAUAGACAAGCAUCAACGUGCAAGGUGGGAGUGAAGUUGGAAUGGAAGAGCAAGGAGAUCUAGGAAAAGAAUUGCGGGGUGAAGAAGGACUCCAGAGUGUUUCCUGUCAGUACAGAGUAUUGAAGAGAAAAGAAGUCCAGAGAGGAGGUGUCUGCAGCUAGCCUGUGUGUCUUGGACUCAAAGAGUGUCCGGUGGGCUUCAAAGGCCAGCGGCAAGGCAGAUAAAACAGAUUUUUAAAAAUUGAAAUGAAAAGAAACAGAUUUUAUUUUGAGAAUUUGUACACUGGGAGUAGGCAGCACUGAUGUGAAGUGAAAAAGGAUUUUUUUUUUUUUAAUGUCAUGCCUUCAUUUGUACACCACCUACAGCUUCAAAAUCCUUUCACAUGUAUCCAUCUAAUCCUUAAGGUGGGCAUGAGCCUCUUUUGGCGGUCGGCAAGGAUGGGAAAGAUUACAUGAUUUCAGGUCUCACAGAGAAAGUGAUGGAGCUGUAGCUUGAAUUCUAAGCUUUUACUUCAAAUCCACAAUGCCAUGCCUCACUCCAGUGAAGGACGGACUCCUGUUCUGUCUCCUAAAACCCACACAGCUCGCCUGGAGCUUCAAACGUGAGAAUACAUUCCAGUUGCAGGAUCAGAGGACUUUUCCUACAGCACGGAUCUUUGGAAGUUUGAACUCAACAGUGAAGACUUAGGGUAUCUGGCAGAAGAAAUUUCUAAGCAGUAAAGCAUUCACGAGUAGCCUGGAUGAUUCCAACAGCCUAUGGUCAGAUGUUGGAGAAAAGAAAUGACUUAACAUUGGAAAUUAUAUUUAAAAGAAAAGCAAAGCAUGAAAGUUUGGAAAAUUUGAAACCUAGCCAUGUGGUAGAAAAUAAUGCCCGUUUUCACAAGAAGAAUCCAAGCAGGCUGAGGUGCAACCACUUGCUAGAGAUAUUCGCAUAACUUAAUGGAGCCAAGUGGUAGUAGCCAAGACAAUGGGAAAAAGUCCUUGAAGGAUUUUUUUUUCCAAGAUGGUGGAUGGGGGCAGGGUUAGCAUGCCUCUCCCACUUGGAAGAACAGAAAAGUGUAAGGAGAUUCACACUGUGAACUUUUUCAAAGAACCACCACAGGAAGUUACCAGGAAAACUGAAAGAAUUCACAGAUCCUUUGAAAGAGGCCACAGCAUACUCUGCAAGACAGUUAGACACAUAACUGUGACUGUCCUGCUGGAGAGGGAGGCCACAAGCAGGGGCCCUGGAGGAUGAGGAGCCACAUGGAGAGUGAGGCCUCAGAGAGGAGUGCAGAGGUUCUGGACAUGUGAGUGAAGGUGCCACCUUGGACAUUCCAGCCCCAUCAAGGCUCCAAGGACACCAGACCCAUCCAUCGUGUGAUAACAGCCAACAAGAGCCCCGGGUGAGUGCAGCAGGGCUGCCCUGCCAAGCCCUUCAGCCCACAGAAUUGUGAGAACGAUUAAACUGUUGUACUCCACUAAGGUUUGGGUUAUGAUGGAUAACUGGGAUGCUGCUCCCAGCAACCACUUCUAGGAUUCCCUUCCAGAAUGACUAUGCCUUGAUUCUCAGUCUGAUGGACAAGGUUGUAUGUGCCUCACACUUAUGAAAUCAGCACUAUUCUGUAAUGACAGGCACACAAUGCUCACUUGAGAAAGGAAGGCUUUGUUGCAUUUGAGAGGGGUGGAAAUGCUACUCUGCUGAAGUGAGCACCUGGACAACAAAAUGGAGGAUUUUAGGAAGUUUCUCUUGACUCAGAAGGAAGAUUGCAGCCCAGCUAUAAAGGAACCCAUGUCUGCUAAGUUCCCUAUUAUAUUUUCCUCAUGCUUCUCACCUUGAUGUUUUUGUUCCACUCAGGUCUUUGUUCAGACUUCACCUCCUCACAGGGAACUCCCCUGGGCCCCUCUCUAGAUUGGCCCCUCUGCCACCCCAGGUUCCUUCCUGUGCUUUAUCCUGCUCUCCACCUGACGUCAUAUAACUCUUUUUUUUCUUUUUUUUUUUUUUGAGAUGGAGUCUCCCUCUGCCACCAGGCUGGAGUGCAAUGGUGCGAUCUCGGCUCACUUCUACCUUCGCCUCCCAGGUUCAAGUGAUUCUCCUGCCUCAGCCUCCCAAGUAGCUGGGACUACAGGACCUCUGAUCCCUGAAGGGAGGACCCAGAGUCACCAGCCUGCCAAGAAACACCGAGCAUCUGCUCUGGAGAAGGGAGUUAGGAAGGAAACGUGUGAACCACGCAGCCAGACCGGUCUCCAGAUGGCAAGACCUCUGAGGAAUUCAUCUGUGGUCAAUAGCACUGGAAUCACCCAUGAGUCCAAGAUGGAAGGCUGAUGAAGAGAAGGAACAGGGAGAGGGAAUUAACUUUCCUGAGCUCAGUGCUUGAGUGAGAGUCAAAUCUCCAUAUACCAAUCAUGGAGCAGAGGUGCUAUGAGAGAUUCCUAACUCCUGAACAACUGUGACCAAGAUAGGUGUCUGACCACCAAAUGUUCCUGUUUUCCCCACAAGUGGCAGCUCCGCCAGGGAAUGCAUAUUUCAUCUAGGUAGGGUUAUGUGAUUAAUUCCCCUUAAAGACAUGUAAACAGCAGCAACAGAUGCCAUUUCUCACCUGAGGUUGUUGGUAUGGGGUGCAUGAUCCUCUGCAUAUUCAUUUCCUCCGCCAUGGAUUCUUAGCAUUGGGAGCCACAGGAAAGAAGCCAUCUGGAUUUCUGAGUCAUUAUUUGGAGGAAAACCUCAUCUUCAACUGAGACAUGAGUAAAAGACAAACUUCUGAAAUUGUACUAAGCCAUUAAGAUGUGAGGUUCUUUUGUGUACUGGUCUGCCCUCAUGAACACACACAGACACAUUUUGUCGGCUUACUAGGAAUGCCCUUUGUGUUACUGAGCUUGCUGCUAGUGACAAGAUUACAAAUAUUCUUACAUUUAGGGGCACAUUAUAUUUUGGGGAUACAUUUUACAUAACAACUAUGGUAGAGCUAUAUUCCAUUGUUAAAAACAAAAAUCCACAAUGUAUGAAGGUGCAGGCUCACACCAACAGAUAAAACAGGUAACUAUCCCCACAGCACAAGAGGAUUAUUCACUUCACUGAAUUAUCCAUUUUAGCAUGAAAAAAAAAAAGUAUCCGGCUUCCUUAGGAGAUAUGACUAACCUAAUAAGAUGGGCAUUACUUUCAUGCAGAGGCCCCUCAGCUCCUGCUUUUCAAAGACCAUCCAGUUCACUUGAAAUGUGGUGCACCUAGGAAAAGUCAUCCCAGGGGCUCAGGCAGGGCCCUUCUUGCUCUCUUGCACAUUCCUUCCGAGCACUCAUUUCCUUGGCAGGGAGUACUCCUGAAUACACCUCACAUGAGAGUAAACUGGGCAAGAAUAGUGAGCUUUCCCAGCCACCUGGAGCUCAGAACCCCCGCUUACUUCACGUGGGACUUUCAGCUCUCCAUCCCCACUUUGGAUUGUUGUUGGAAGCUCCUGGUGCAUGUUACUUCUCGAUCUCCUAGACCUUCCAGAACAUCACAGAAUGUCCUCACUUCAGUUCCCUUUAAGAGUCACCCAGGACACAGCGUGUUAGCAUUCCCGUAGGUUUGCCCCACAUACAAAGCUUAUCUUAGCUUUGGAGAUAAGCAAGAAACAUCUCUUAGAACCAUCUCACCUCUUCUUUCCACUUGUGGACAUGCCUAUCUUGGGAAAGGCUGAUGACAUAAAAGAGAUUUCCAAAUUCCCAUGGGUCAGUAGACAUUCCAGCUUUCCCAAACCUUAGCAACAAACUAAAGCAUUUGUGGUAACUUUUGCAUCAUAUGAUAUUUAUAGAAGUCUACCUAUUGUAAAAAUGUACAAUGGUAAUAGUAAUAGCUGAUUUUUUUGAGCACUUACAGUGUGCUAAAUACUCUUCUAACGCUUUACAAGUAUUCACUCAUAGCCAACAAAUGUUGAAUAUUUUCAUCCAUUCUUCUUAUCCAGAUGUAGAUAAGUAGAAUGAGAUUCUAUUUACCUGUCAUUAUGAUUCUUCUGUACUGGUGGAUGCAUACCAUUUCUGGUUUCCCGGCUCAUAGGCCUUGCUCGUCUGACCUCUGACUAAACCAGGUUUUGAUAAUUGCAGUUGUUUUUAUUCCCUGUCUGCAGUCUCUUCCACAUUUUCUCCCACAAAUACUCCUCUUCCACAUACCCUUUCCUUCAGUUGUAAUAAAAUUAUAUACCAUACACAAGAUUUGAUAUUUGCAGAAUGAUUUUUUAGUAUCAUAGGCUUAUAUGCUUUUGGAAGUAGAAGUGGUGGAACUUCAUAAAACUUUUUGGUUUUUGAAGAUAUGAACACUGACCAGCGAGAUGAAGUUACUUCCCUAAGAUUGCACAGUUGGUCUGUUUAGCUGGUAAUAGACUUCAGAGAGGAUUCUUCCAAGUCCCCACUUAUCACUCUGUGCUCCGUAAAAUAGAAGAUGGCUUUCAUCUUAAAGCUCAUUUUAAAUCAUGAAGUGGGUAAAAGGAAAGUCAGUCUAUGUGUGUGUGUCUCUCUCUCCUUUUCUCUCUAUUCAUUCAUCUUACCAUCACCUAAAUUGCUAAGUUUUCUCAAAGUGCACCUGGGCAUAAAUUUCCUUGGAUCAUACUAGUCAUACUGCCAAUUUAUAUGGAGGUAUCCAAUGAUAA
Chlorocebus sabaeus (green monkey) is the source of this 4818-nucleotide non-coding RNA. The record is from RefSeq and is a predicted model, not a curated record. Lineage: Eukaryota; Metazoa; Chordata; Mammalia; Primates; Cercopithecidae.